UACGGAGGGUGCAAGCGUUGUCCGGAUUUAUUGGGUUUAAAGGGUGCGUAGGUGGCCUUAUAAGUCAGUGGUGAAAGCCUGCAGCUCAACUGUAGGACUGCCAUUGAUACUGUAAGGCUUGAGUAUUGAUGAGGUAGGCGGAAUUGAUAGUGUAGCGGUGAAAUGCAUAGAGAGGAUCAAGAACACCGAUUGCGAAGGCAGCUUACUAAGGAAUAACUGACACUGAGGCACGAAAGCGUGGGGAGCAAACAGG
Molecule: ribosomal RNA, 253 nt
Filed under: uncultured bacterium
Lineage: Bacteria
Description: partial 16S ribosomal RNA
Rfam family: Bacterial small subunit ribosomal RNA
Source: RNAcentral